CCCACCAGCUGCCCCCCAAGACCCUCUCUUCCCUGCUAGGCACCAGAGCUGACUUACGGAGGCGCGGGGGAACACGCACCCCGCCACUCCCCGCCCGUGGGACCCCAGGGGUCUUUCAACAGUCUGUCUUGACAGUGGACUGCCCAAGGCAAGAGGCAGCCAGCUCAGAAGCCAGAUGGGAGCUGGGGGACAGAGACCCAGAGGAUGAACUGGAAGGAGGCACUGAGAGAGGGAAAAAAAGAAGAAAACGGACCCACAUCCUUUUCAGCUUGAGGCCAUGAAGAAAUGGAGGGAAAGAGACAGAGUAAAAAGAAGAGGAGGUCAAAGGAGAACACAGAAAUGGCCAGAGGGGCACAUAGCUCACUCUGGGGGAUGUUAUCUGCCUUGCUGUGAGGACAUUCAUGCAACCCUAUGGAGAGACACAUGUAACAGGAACUGAGAUCCCCACCCUGUGAGUAAGCCGUCUUAGAAAUGGAUUCUCCAACCUCAGUCAAACCUUCGGGCAACUGCAGUCUCUAUGGACAUUCUAUCUGCAACCUCAUGAGGGACUUCAAACUAGAGCCACCCAGAUAAGCCACUUCUGAAUUUCUGACCUACAGAACAAUAAGAUAAUAAAUAUUAUUCUAAGCAAUUAAGUUUUGGUGUAAUUUGUUACACAGCAACAGAUAACUAAUACAUAACUCCAUAAGUGUUUGCUGAGAAUUACCAUGUUGC
This is a long non-coding RNA of Neofelis nebulosa (Clouded leopard), 714 nucleotides long. RefSeq lists it as uncharacterized. The transcript has 4 exons. NCBI's taxonomy places the organism in Eukaryota, Metazoa, Chordata, Mammalia, Carnivora, Felidae. The record is from RefSeq and is a predicted model, not a curated record.